UGAUGAAAGUAAAUGAUACUUUAAAAUUCCUUAAUGCUAAGAAAACAAGACAUCCACAGGAUGAACAAGGAGGUUAAAGACAAUCAGGAGAUGAAGUCCAGGAUACUGGUGAUCAAGGCCGCGGAAGACAGCGCCCUGCAGUACAUGAACUUCAUGAACGUCAUCUUCGCGGCGCAGAAGCAGAAUAUUUUGAUCGAUGCGUGUGUUUUAGACUCCGAUUCAGGACUCCUCCAACAGGUACGUUCUAGGUGAAUGCUUGGUGUUGGUUGUGAAAGGGGGUGUGUUCUGUUCCUAUUGUUCCAUGCCUUUCACUGAUCGUCACACAUUUGUAGGGAUUAGCCUGUGUGACAGUAUAGAUGAGAGAACGAACAUUUCUCUGGCCCCUUCAAACUUUCUAUUUUACAUAAUAACUUGAUUGACUUUGGAAAAGUGAUUCACACAUUAAAACAAAUAUAAGCAACACAGAAAAGUAUUUUUUAAAAAGGUUUAAAAAAUCCCUUCAAAUACUAUUAUUCGAAAGUUACCAUUGUUAAUAAUUGGUGAAGAGAAUGAUAGAUCUCUGUGUAUAUAGAUAUAGAUUUUUAGGAAGAGGAAGGGAGAGGGGGAGAAACAUUGACGCGAGAGC
This is a long non-coding RNA of Myotis brandtii (Brandt's bat), 625 nucleotides long. RefSeq lists it as uncharacterized. The record is from RefSeq and is a predicted model, not a curated record. NCBI's taxonomy places the organism in Eukaryota, Metazoa, Chordata, Mammalia, Chiroptera, Vespertilionidae. The transcript is spliced from 4 exons.